UGCAGUCGAGCGGUAACAGGGGGUGCUUGCUUCCGCGUGACAAGCGCCGCGACGGGUGAGAAAUGCAUAUGAAACUGCGCCGUAGUGGGGGAUAGCCCGGGGAAACCCGGAUUAAUACCCCGUACACCCUUCGGGGGAAAGCAGGGGAUCUUCUGACCUUGCGCUAUUGGAUGUGACUAUGUCGGAUUAUCUAGUUGGUGGGGUAAAGGCCUACCACGGCGACAAUCCGUAGCUGGUCGUGAGGAUGAUCAGCCACAUCGGGACUGAGACACGGCCCGAACUCCUACGGGAGGCAGCAGUGGGGAAUAUUGGACAAUGGGGGCAACCCUGA
RNAcentral lists this ribosomal RNA (331 nucleotides) under Marinobacter adhaerens. RNAcentral's name for it is "bacterial SSU rRNA". It matches the Rfam family "Bacterial small subunit ribosomal RNA", at positions 56 to 386 of the family's 1533-position model. Lineage: Bacteria; Pseudomonadati; Pseudomonadota; Gammaproteobacteria; Pseudomonadales; Marinobacteraceae. The record is from RNAcentral.